Molecule: ribosomal RNA, 392 nt
Filed under: uncultured organism
Description: bacterial SSU rRNA
Rfam family: Bacterial small subunit ribosomal RNA
Source: RNAcentral
CAGAGGGCGCGAGCGUUGUCCGGAAUCACUGGGCGUAAAGGGCGCGUAGGUGGCCACUAUAAGGCCGCGGUGAAAGUUCGGGGCUCAACCCUGAAUCUGCCGCGGCGACUGUAGGGCUUGGGCACUGUAGAGGCAGAUGGAAUUCCGGGUGUAGCGGUGGAAUGCGCAGAGAUCCGGAAGAACACCAGUGGCGAAGGCGGUCUGCUGGGCAGUGGGAGCGCAAGCUCCUCUUAGCCGACACUGAGGCGCGACAGCGUGGGGAGCAAACAGGAUUAGAUACCCUGGUAGUCCACGCCGUAAACGAUGGGCACUAGGUGCUUUGGGGAGCGACCCCCGGGGUACCGGCGCUAAUGCAUGAAGUGCCCCGCCUGGGGAGUACGGCCGCAAGGCUG